GCGGUAAUUCCAGCUCUGUAAGCGUAUACCAAAGUUGUUGCAGUUAAAACGCUCGUAGUCGGAUUUUGGCGUGGUGCUUCUGAGACCCCUGCUUGGGUGUUGACGGUAGUCCCGCCUUUGUGGAUGAGGGCGUGGUGGUGCUUUGUUGCAUUGCUGCGUUUUCGCCACUGUUUACUGUGAAAAAAUUAGAGUGUUCAAAGCGAGCGAUUGCCAUGAAUAUAUUAGCAUGGAAUAAUAGAAUAGGACCUGAUCCUGUUUUGUUGGUUUGUCAGUAUUAGGUAAUGAUUAAGAGGGACGGUCGGGGGCAUUUGUAUUCCAGGGUUAGAGGUGAAAUUCUGGAUU
RNAcentral lists this ribosomal RNA (342 nucleotides) under uncultured rhodophyte. Its description in RNAcentral is "SSU rRNA". It matches the Rfam family "Eukaryotic small subunit ribosomal RNA", at positions 576 to 926 of the family's 1831-position model. Lineage: Eukaryota; Rhodophyta. The record is from RNAcentral.